Molecule: ribosomal RNA, 253 nt
Filed under: uncultured bacterium
Lineage: Bacteria
Description: partial 16S ribosomal RNA
Rfam family: Bacterial small subunit ribosomal RNA
Source: RNAcentral
UACGGAGGGUGCAAGCGUUAUCCGGAUUUACUGGGUUUAAAGGGUGCGCAGGCGGAUAUGUAAGUCAGUGGUGAAAUCUCUAGGCUUAACCUGGAAAUUGCCGUUGAUACUAUUUACCUUGAAUUCUGUUGAGGUGGGCGGAAUACAUCAUGUAGCGGUGAAAUGCUUAGAUAUGAUGUAGAACACCAAUUGCGAAGGCAGCUCACUAAACAGACAUUGACGCUGAGGCACGAAAGCGUGGGGAUCAAACAGG